GUGAGGAAUAUUGGUCAAUGGGCGAGAGCCUGAACCAGCCAAGUCGCGUGAAGGAAGAAGGAUCUAUGGUUCGUAAACUUCUUUUGCAGGGGAAUAAAGUGCGGGACGUGUCCUGUUUUGUAUGUACCCUGAGAAUAAGGAUCGGCUAACUCCGUGCCAGCAGCCGCGGUAAUACGGAGGAUCCGAGCGUUAUCCGGAUUUAUUGGGUUUAAAGGGUGCGUAGGUGGUUUGAUAAGUCAGCGGUGAAAGUUUGCAGCUUAACUGUAAAAAUGCCGUUGAAACUGUCGGACUUGAGUGUAGAUGAGGUAGGCGGAAUGCGUGGUGUAGCGGUGAAAUGCAUAGAUAUCACGCAGAACUCCGAUUGCGAAGGCAGCUUACUAAGCUACAACUGACACUGAAGCACGAAAGCGUGGGGAUCAAACAGGAUUAGAUACCCGUGUAGUCC
Molecule: ribosomal RNA, 445 nt
Filed under: uncultured bacterium
Lineage: Bacteria
Description: partial 16S ribosomal RNA
Rfam family: Bacterial small subunit ribosomal RNA
Source: RNAcentral